This 801-nucleotide ribosomal RNA is filed under the name uncultured Bacillota bacterium. Its description in RNAcentral is "bacterial SSU rRNA". It matches the Rfam family "Bacterial small subunit ribosomal RNA", at positions 541 to 1342 of the family's 1533-position model. The record is from RNAcentral. Lineage: Bacteria; Bacillati; Bacillota.
UUGUCCGGAUUUAUUGGGCGUAAAGCGAGCGCAGGCGGAAAAAUAAGUCUAAUGUGAAAGCCUUCGGCUUAACCGAAGAAGUGCAUCGGAAACCGGGCAACUUGAGUGCAGAAGAGGACAGUGGAACUCCAUGUGUAGCGGUGGAAUGCGUAGAUAUAUGGAAGAACACCAGUGGCGAAGGCGGCUGUCUGGUCUGCAACUGACGCUGAGGCUCGAAAGCAUGGGUAGCGAACAGGAUUAGAUACCCUGGUAGUCCAUGCCGUAAACGAUGAGUGCUAGGUGUUGGAGGGUUUCCGCCCUUCAGUGCCGGAGCUAACGCAUUAAGCACUCCGCCUGGGGAGUACGGCCGCAAGGCUGAAACUCAAAGGAAUUGACGGGGGCCCGCACAAGCGGUGGAGCAUGUGGUUUAAUUCGAAGCUACGCGAAGAACCUUACCAGGUCUUGACAUCUUGCGCUAACCUUAGAGAUAAGGCGUUCCCUUCGGGGACGCAAUGACAGGUGGUGCAUGGUCGUCGUCAGCUCGUGUCGUGAGAUGUUGGGUUAAGUCCCGCAACGAGCGCAACCCUUGUUACUAGUUGCCAGCAUUAAGUUGGGCACUCUAGUGAGACUGCCGGUGACAAACCGGAGGAAGGUGGGGACGACGUCAGAUCAUCAUGCCCCUUAUGACCUGGGCUACACACGUGCUACAAUGGUUGGUACAACGAGUCGCAAGCUCGCGAGAGUAAGCAAACCUCUUAAAGCCAAUCUCAGUUCGGACUGUAGGCUGCAACUCGCCUACACGAAGUCGGAAUCGCUAGUAAU